RNAcentral lists this ribosomal RNA (465 nucleotides) under Vreelandella stevensii. Its description in RNAcentral is "partial 16S ribosomal RNA". It matches the Rfam family "Bacterial small subunit ribosomal RNA", at positions 338 to 795 of the family's 1533-position model. Lineage: Bacteria; Pseudomonadati; Pseudomonadota; Gammaproteobacteria; Oceanospirillales; Halomonadaceae. The record is from RNAcentral.
CCUACGGGUGGCAGCAGUGGGGAAUAUUGGACAAUGGGCGAAAGCCUGAUCCAGCCAUGCCGCGUGUGUGAAGAAGGCCUUCGGGUUGUAAAGCACUUUCAGUGGGGAAGAAAGCCUUGGGGCUAAUACCCUCGAGGAAGGACAUCACCCACAGAAGAAGCACCGGCUAACUCCGUGCCAGCAGCCGCGGUAAUACGGAGGGUGCGAGCGUUAAUCGGAAUUACUGGGCGUAAAGCGCGCGUAGGCGGUCUGAUAAGCCGGUUGUGAAAGCCCCGGGCUCAACCUGGGAACGGCAUCCGGAACUGGCAGGCUAGAGUGCAGGAGAGGAAGGUAGAAUUCCCGGUGUAGCGGUGAAAUGCGUAGAGAUCUGGAGGAAUACCAGUGGCGAAGGCGGCCUUCUGGACUAACACUGACGCUGAGGUGCGAAAGCGUGGGUAGCAAACAGGAUUAGAUACCCGAGUAGUC